This is a long non-coding RNA of Oreochromis aureus, 1363 nucleotides long. Lineage: Eukaryota; Metazoa; Chordata; Actinopteri; Cichliformes; Cichlidae. The record is from Ensembl.
CUAGAGCUGGCCCCUGACCUCCUAAGAGGAAAACUAAGCACACAACCAUAAAAAUACCAAUAAAAAGCAGCACUGUGUUAACAGAUAUUGAGGCGAAGGACUGUUAUAAGUCUGCACUGCUCAAUGUCAACUUAAGGCACUCCACUUUUUUGUAAUGAUCUAUAACAGUUUUACUCUAAUGGUAAAUGAGGCCGUAUUUAUGUAGAUGCAACAGUUCAACGAGUUUUCCUUUGCUUGGUGUGAAAAAAACUUGACCUGCCCCUCAUCUAAAGGAAUAAAUAUUCUUAUUUGUGUAUUCAAGCAUGCCAUUUCUAAAAAUCUUUAAUAUAGACAUUUUUGUCUUAGUUUCAGUAAUCAACUGGGGGACGUUUCUAAUAUGUGUCAGUUACCAUUGUUUACUUGUAAAUAGUGGUUUCAGAGGGAAAGAUUGAUUAAUAUGAUCAACAUGGGCAUCUGAUCAGAUUUAAGAACAGACAUCAGAUUGUGCCCCAGUGCUUUAAGCUUUAUUUCUCGCUUUAUAUUAAAAGCAGCGGUUUAAAAAAGACACAUGUGGACUGUAAUGCAAGCCAAAGCAAUAUGAGACUUUUGAUGUGUUAUUACACUUCUCUAAAAGGGGGGGGGGGGUACUCAGAGACAGAAACCAGUUUAUUUUCUAUAUUCUGAUUGUUUUUAAUCAGGGCUUCAUAUAUCAUCCAGGGCCUGUAUAACAGAACAUUCUGCUCCUAAAAACACAUCUGCUGACGGUGUUUUCCUCGACUCCCAAACUCCCUCUGUAGAAAAUUUUGAUCCUAACGUGCCGACAAAAUUAAAAGCAAAUGCUGAAAUCUGCCUUUCUGGAAAAGGUGUAACAAAAAAUUCAUCAUAAAGUAAGAAUGUACCGUUCACCUGUAGUGUCUCUGCUUAAUCAUUUGUGUCAGCUUCGUUGGCUGCUGAGAAAGAAACCUGAGCCUGAUCGCAGAUUACCAUCACCGAAUGAGCACUAGUGACACUCAGUGGAUUAUCCAGGAACAGCCAGUCCUAAAACGUGAGCUCCAAUUAUCCUUCUAGAUCAGGGGUAUCAAACAUGCAGCCCAGGGGCCAAAUCCCGGCCCCUCAAAGGGUCCUCCUGGCCCACUGCGCGGCUUCAGAAGGUUUUGUACUUUUGUACAUCAGCUGUGAUCCCUAGAUUUUAACACACGUGUAAUGACAGGAGCUCAUGACUGUUGGAAAAACAGACCUGCAGCAGGCAGCAGAGACCACUCACUGAAAAGGAAGGAUCUAUGGAUGCAACAAGAGGCGGGCGGAUCGAUAUCAGUACCAAUGUUAGUAUUGGUAUGGGAUCAAUACUAAGUUAUACUUUGUUUCUACGCUCUACAUUCCGUAU